This 253-nucleotide ribosomal RNA is filed under the name uncultured bacterium. RNAcentral's name for it is "partial 16S ribosomal RNA". It matches the Rfam family "Bacterial small subunit ribosomal RNA", at positions 524 to 776 of the family's 1533-position model. The record is from RNAcentral.
UACGUAGGGGGCAAGCGUUGUCCGGAAUCAUUGGGCGUAAAGCGCGUGUAGGCGGUCCGGUAAGUCCGCUGUGAAAGUCGGGGGCUCAACCCUCGGAUGCCGGUGGAUACUGUCGGGCUUGAGUACGGAAGAGGAGAGUGGAAUUCCUGGUGUAGCGGUGAAAUGCGCAGAUAUCAGGAAGAACACCCGUGGCGAAGGCGGCUCUCUGGUACGUGACUGACGCUGAGACGCGAAAGCGUGGGGAGCGAACAGG